AGUAAAGCAACUACGAAAGAGAACUAUUUGUGCAUCUUAAAGCAUCGAUGCUUCACAAAAGGAUGGAUAACUGGUAUGCCGUAAUGAUGGUCACAGAAAUCCUAAAUGAAGGCAGUAGUUCUGUUUCUGUUUACUACAAGGGAUAUCUUUCCAAAUAAGGAAAUUACCCACAACUAUGGUGAUUCUUCUUGGCCAUGGCAUUCAAGGGAAUUGCAUGAAGCAUCAUUGGUGACUGAGAUUGAUUGCAGUGUGAAAACUUCCAUGUCAGGGAAAGAGAAACAAUUAUGUGAAAAGUCAUCAAUGGCAAUGAUUGAAUGUGGUUCGAAAAAUUUCUACGUCAGGGAAGGAGAAAGAAUUGCAUGAAGAGUCAUUGGUGACUGGGAUCAAAUGCUGUUCGAAAACUUCUAAAUCAGGGAAAGAGACAGAGUUGAAUGAAGAGUCAUUGGUGACUGGGAUCAAAUGCAGAGCGAAAACUUCCAAGUCAGGGAAAGAGACAGUA
This 499-nucleotide long non-coding RNA is filed under the name Danio rerio (zebrafish). RNAcentral describes it as "lncRNA si:dkey-8f9.3 (ENSDARG00000097277.3)". The record is from RNAcentral. Lineage: Eukaryota; Metazoa; Chordata; Actinopteri; Cypriniformes; Danionidae.